AUUAUACCAGGUCUCUUGCCACCGCAUAACGAAAUAAUUCGCGUUACACUCUGCCAGUUAUAUGUGACAAGCACACACUACACAUUUGUAUGUAUUUACAGCAGGCACGACAAACGAAUGCUUCACUAAUCGCCAAUUACGGAAAACCUAAUUAGUUUUUCACACAUUUCAUAUUUGCUGCGAAUAAUUCGUUACGUAGCAGGCAAUUUUACGAACCAAGACUUUUUGCAUUUCACACUUGUAACGACAACACACUCAAGCAAUAACUGUUUUCUUGAAAGUAACGCAGAGGAAGUGAAAUUGGAUUGGAAAUAUACUUUUAUUAGAAAAAUAUUUGCAUUGCGAUUUUAUUGCGGGGCAAUGUCGUUGUUGCGUUUGACAGAAAAUACGUUAGUCAUGAGCGAAAGAAGAGGCAGCUUUUGAUUUUGUAGCGGCAGAAAACAUUUCUGAAGCAAUUUCAAGGAAUGGUGCCUAGUUAACAGUCCGUGGACGGAUAAAAAUCCGGGUCCGUUCAGAUUACUUAUUAUUUGCAAUUACUAUAAACAUUUGACACUUCAUUUCGUUUAUGUCGUCAUGUUCUAAUCUUUUCUUAUCAUUUUGGCAGUUAAGUUUACUUCAUUCUUCAAAAAAAAGUAUCGUAUUGUGUUUACUUAAAACUGAAUUUUAUGGUUAUUAAUCCACGUUUUCGUUUCAAACAUACUUAUUUUGACAUUAGUUGGCAAUAAAACGGCAAAUCAAGCUUUGCAGUGCAAGCGUAAGAAUUUUGAUUUGGAAAAUAGUUCACUAUAUUGACAUUAGACAUUCGUUUCUUUAGAAAUGUGUACUUUUAUUGACUUCAACAACACACUU
Bactrocera latifrons is the source of this 849-nucleotide long non-coding RNA. RefSeq lists it as uncharacterized. The transcript is spliced from 2 exons. The record is from RefSeq and is a predicted model, not a curated record. NCBI's taxonomy places the organism in Eukaryota, Metazoa, Arthropoda, Insecta, Diptera, Tephritidae.